UCCCAGUGGCUCAGACAGUAAGAAAUCUGCCUGCAAUGCAGGAGACCCAGGUUUGAUUCCUGGGUUGGGAA
RNAcentral lists this transfer RNA (71 nucleotides) under Capra hircus (goat). It matches the Rfam family "tRNA". Rfam says of the family: Transfer RNA (tRNA) molecules are approximately 80 nucleotides in length. Their secondary structure includes four short double-helical elements and three loops (D, anti-codon, and T loops). Lineage: Eukaryota; Metazoa; Chordata; Mammalia; Artiodactyla; Bovidae. RNAcentral also lists the same sequence under 1 other name. The record is from Rfam by way of RNAcentral.